AACGAACGCUGGCGGCAGGCCUAACACAUGCAAGUCGAGCGAACCCUUCGGGGUUAGCGGCGGACGGGUUAGUAACGCGUGGGAAUAUACCCUUUGGUACGGAAUAGCCUCGGGAAACUGAGAGUAAUACCGUAUGUGCCCUUCGGGGGAAAGAUUUAUCGCCAAAGGAUUAGCCCGCGUUGGAUUAGAUAGUUGGUGGGGUAAUGGCCUACCAAGUCUACGAUCCAUAGCUGGUUUGAGAGGAUGAUCAGCAACACUGGGACUGAGACACGGCCUAGACUCCUACGGGAGGCAGCAGUGGGGAAUCUUAGACAAUGGGCGCAAGCCUGAUCUAGCCAUGCCGCGUGGACGAUGAAGGCCUUAGGGUUGUAAAGUCCUUUCAGAUGGGAAGAUAAUGACGGUACCAUCAGAAGAAGCCCCCGGCUAACUCCGUG
RNAcentral lists this ribosomal RNA (434 nucleotides) under uncultured bacterium. RNAcentral's name for it is "bacterial SSU rRNA". It matches the Rfam family "Bacterial small subunit ribosomal RNA", at positions 29 to 507 of the family's 1533-position model. The record is from RNAcentral.